UACGUAGGGUGCAAGCGUUAAUCGGAAUUACUGGGCGUAAAGCGUGCGCAGGCGGUCUUGCAAGACAGAUGUGAAAUCCCCGGGCUCAACCUGGGAACUGCAUUUGUGACUGCAAGGCUGGAGUGCGGCAGAGGGGGAUGGAAUUCCGCGUGUAGCAGUGAAAUGCGUAGAUAUCAGGAGGAACACCGGUGGCGAAGGCGGCCCUCUGGACGGUGACUGACGCUGAGACGCGAAAGCGUGGGGAGCAAACAGG
RNAcentral lists this ribosomal RNA (253 nucleotides) under uncultured bacterium. RNAcentral describes it as "partial 16S ribosomal RNA". It matches the Rfam family "Bacterial small subunit ribosomal RNA", at positions 524 to 776 of the family's 1533-position model. The record is from RNAcentral.